UAGGGUAAAAGCCUACCAAGCCGAUGAUCAAAAGCCAUGUUUGAUAGAGCAGAUGGCCACAUUGGGUAUGAAAAGCCCCAAGUAGAAUUUUCUACCAGCAGUCAAGAAUAUUAGUCAAUGCUCGCAAGAGUGAACUAGCUAACUGAAAUCACAGGAUCCACUACGUGUGGUGAAUGUAAUAACGUAAGGGAAAAAAAUGAUAUUACCUUACUAUUAGUGUUGUCCAAAACUGGUGCCAGAAGACUCGGUAAGGCCAGAGACGCAAACGUUAGUCGUCCUAAUCAGGCGUAAAGGGUAUGUAGGCUGCUUUAAAAGUUUUAUAUUUAAUAGCUAAUGUAAAAAAAUAUUAAAUUUUUUUAUAUAAAAAAAUAAAAUGAAUUAAAGCUAGGAUCAAAUUGAGGAUAAUAAAUAACACCUAGUGUAGGGUUUAAAUCUGAUGAUAUUAGGUGGAGUACUAACGGUGAAAGCUUUUUAUCUAGAAAUGAUUGACGCUGAGAAACGAAGGUGAGAAUAGGAAAUAGGAUUAGAUACCCAGAUACCUCUCACAGUCAACGAUGAAUGGUGGUUGUUACUUAGUUUUAUUUAAGUGAUAACGAUGUUAACACGAUAACCAUUCCGCCUUGCGAGUACGGUUGCAAAACUGAAACCAAAAAAAUUAGUCGGUCUCGAAGCAAACGAAGUGAAGCAUGUUAUUUAAUACGAUAAUACGCGUAAAAUCUUACCAGUCCUUGUAUAUCCAAUAUUUCUUAUGUAAAAAUAAUAAAUAUUGAGUAGUUUCUUUUUAAAAAUAGAAAUUCGUUUA
This 802-nucleotide ribosomal RNA is filed under the name Entoloma maheense. RNAcentral describes it as "partial small subunit ribosomal RNA". It matches the Rfam family "Bacterial small subunit ribosomal RNA", at positions 253 to 1035 of the family's 1533-position model. The record is from RNAcentral. Lineage: Eukaryota; Fungi; Basidiomycota; Agaricomycetes; Agaricales; Entolomataceae.